UUAGUACUCCCUCCAUCCCAAAAUUCUUGUCUUAAUUUCAUCUAGAUACGGAUGUAUCUAAUACUAAAACGUGACUUGAUACAUCCGGAUUUAGACAAAUCUAAGACAAGAAUUUUGGGACGGAGGGAGUAGAUU
This is a non-coding RNA of Triticum aestivum (bread wheat), 135 nucleotides long. The record is from Rfam. NCBI's taxonomy places the organism in Eukaryota, Viridiplantae, Streptophyta, Magnoliopsida, Poales, Poaceae.